ACGGAAGGCAGCAGUGGGGAAUAUUGCACAAUGGGCGAAAGCCUGAUGCAGCGACGCCGCGUGAACGAAGAAGUAUUUCGGUAUGUAAAGUUCUAUCAGCAGGGAAGAUAAUGACGGUACCUGACUAAGAAGCACCGGCUAAAUACGUGCCAGCAGCCGCGGUAAUACGUAUGGUGCAAGCGUUAUCCGGAUUUACUGGGUGUAAAGGGAGCGCAGGCGGUACGGCAAGUCUGAUGUGAAAGCCCGGGGCUCAACCCCGGUACUGCAUUGGAAACUGUCGAACUAGAGUGUCGGAGGGGUAAGUGGAAUUCCUAGUGUAGCGGUGAAAUGCGUAGAUAUUAGGAGGAACACCAGUGGCGAAGGCGGCUUACUGGACGAUAACUGACGCUGAGGCUCGAAAGCGUGGGGAGCAAACAGGAUUAGAUACCCUGGUA
RNAcentral lists this ribosomal RNA (434 nucleotides) under uncultured Roseburia sp. RNAcentral describes it as "partial 16S ribosomal RNA". It matches the Rfam family "Bacterial small subunit ribosomal RNA", at positions 341 to 792 of the family's 1533-position model. The record is from RNAcentral. Lineage: Bacteria; Bacillati; Bacillota; Clostridia; Lachnospirales; Lachnospiraceae.